UAGAUUGAAGCCAGUUGGUUAGGAUAUUUAGCUGUUAACUAAGUUUCCGUGGGUUUGAAUCCCACCAAUCUAG
Chlorocebus sabaeus (green monkey) is the source of this 73-nucleotide transfer RNA. It matches the Rfam family "tRNA". From Rfam's summary of the family: Transfer RNA (tRNA) molecules are approximately 80 nucleotides in length. Their secondary structure includes four short double-helical elements and three loops (D, anti-codon, and T loops). Further hydrogen bonds mediate the characteristic L-shaped molecular structure. tRNAs have two regions of fundamental functional importance: the anti-codon, which is responsible for specific mRNA codon recognition, and the 3' end, to which the tRNAs corresponding amino acid is attached (by aminoacyl-tRNA synthetases). tRNAs cope with the degeneracy of the genetic code in two manners: having more than one tRNA (with a specific anti-codon) for a particular amino acid; and 'wobble' base-pairing, i.e. permitting non-standard base-pairing at the 3rd anti-codon position. The record is from Rfam. NCBI's taxonomy places the organism in Eukaryota, Metazoa, Chordata, Mammalia, Primates, Cercopithecidae.